CCUGCGGAAGGAUCAUUAGAGAAUUUGAACGUCGUUCGGUUGUGCUGGCUCUUUUGCAAGUGCACGCCGUUCGGCUUACAUCCAACCCCUGUGCACCUUUGGCCUCGUCGGUUUGGUCGCGAUCGUAAUGGUCGUCGGCUCGCCGCGGGGAUUUUACACAAACUCGUAUGUAAARGAAAUUGGAAUUGUGCUCUGCACGAUAAUAUACAACUUUCAACAACGGAUCUCUUGGCUCUCGCAUCGAUGAAGAACGCAGCGAAAUGCGAUAAGUAAUGUGAAUUGCAGAAUUCAGUGAAUCAUCGAAUCUUUGAACGCACCUUGCACCCUUUGGUAUUCCGAAGGGUAUGCCCGUUUGAGUGUCAUUGUAAUCUCACACCCUAAGAUUUGUUUCGAGGGGAGGUGGACUUGGACGUUGCCGCGUCGCUGCGGCUCGUCUCAAAUGCGUUAGUGCAACUUUUGGUUGGACAUAGUACGGCGUGAUAAGUAUCUUCGCCGGCUCUCCGCAAGGGGGUGUUCKAUUYGAAAGCUCUGUGCUUCCAAUCGUCUUCGGACAAGCCUUCACGGGCUUCUUGACAACUUGACCUCAAAUCGGGUAGGACUACCCGCUGAACUUAAGCAUAUCAAUAAGCGGAGGAAAAGAAACUAACAAGGAUUCCCCUAGUAACGGCGAGUGAAGAGGGAUGAGCUCAAAUUUUGAAUCUGGCGUCUUCGGCGUCCGAGUUGUAAUCUAGAGAAGUGUUUUCCGCGAUGGACCGUGCACAAGUCUCCUGGAACGGUGCGUCAUAGAGGGUGAGAAUCCCGUAUAUGGCACGGACUACCAUUGCUCUGCGAUACACUCUCGACGAGUCGAGUUGUUUGGGAAUGCAGCUCAAAGUGGGUGGUAAAUUCCAUCUAAAGCUAAAUAUUGGCGAGAGACCGAUAGCGAACAAGUACCGUGAGGGAAAGAUGAAAAGCACUUUGGAAAGAGAGUGAAACAGUACGUGAAAUUGUUGAAAGGGAAACGCUUGAAGUCAGUCGCGCCCGUUUGGAUUCAGCCUUGCUUCUGCUCGGUUUACUUCCUCGCGGGCGGGUCAACGUCAGUUUUGGUCGGAGGAGAAAGCCUUUGGGAAUGUGGCAGCAUUCGUGCUGUGUUAUAGACCUUUGGUGUAUACUUCGRCCGGGACUGAGGACCGCAGCGCGCCUUUAUGGCUGGGGYUCGCCCACAUACGCGCUUAGGAUGUUGGCAUAAUGGCUUUAAGCGACCCGUCUUGAAACACGGACCAAGGAGUCUAACAUGUGCGCGAGUGUUUGGGUGUUAAACCCGAGCGCGYAAUUAAAGUGAAAGGUU
This is a ribosomal RNA of 1327 nucleotides. The stretch from base 579 to 1327 matches the Rfam family "Eukaryotic large subunit ribosomal RNA", at positions 1 to 737 of the family's 3401-position model.